RNAcentral lists this long non-coding RNA (8157 nucleotides) under Equus caballus (horse). RNAcentral describes it as "lncRNA (ENSECAG00000044614.1)". The record is from RNAcentral. Lineage: Eukaryota; Metazoa; Chordata; Mammalia; Perissodactyla; Equidae.
CGGGCGGGUCUGCAGGGGGCAGUUUCCUAAACACUCUGAGGGCCUGGUGCUCCGGACACUGGCCAGAGGGAUGGCUUCUCCCUCUUCUGUCUGUCCUCCUGAUACUGCGCACUGGACGCCCAUCAGGGAUGUGAGAGGCAGCGAGGCAGACCUGUCCUGCGGGCUUCCGCAUGAUGACAGGGGCCCCAAGGACGACGAGGGCAGCGGGAUGGCAGGGGCCCCGCUCAGCGGUCGACGAGGGGCAGCGCCUUUCCAGAAGCGGCACCGGCCCGCUCGUCCCCAUGCGCUGCUCCGCGAGGCGACGACACCUCCGGGCGUGGGGCACACAUUCGGCCGUUACGUCUCCGUUGCCCUUUCUGUGCGCCGUGGGAAGCCCCCGCCUCCUGGGCCUCAUUUCCGAACAAAGAGGAGAAAGAAGGGCCGGCGCGCACAGCCGCCCCGCCGCGCCAGCCGCUCCGGAAAGAAACCCGCCUCCCGCGGGCGCCGGUGGAGACGCCGCGCCUCCGUGUCCAGCGAUCAUCGCUUUGGGGUCAGGGCCUUACAGGCAAGCAGCGUGCACCCCCUUAGCCUCAGGUUCCCCAAAUGCGUUUGAGCAGGGACACGCCUUCACCUCCGGGUGCCCGUGGGGACCCGUUUUCCAGGCGACACCUGGUGGCAAAGACUGGGUCGCGCACGGUCUGCAGGAGGCGGCGGGACGGGAGCCUGGUUCACAGAAUUUUGUGCAGAUCCGCGGAACUGAAGUGGCGAUCAGCGCGCGGCGGAGCGCAUCAGGCCUUGGGCGCUCGCUGCUGAGCCUGACGACCCCAUGCACACGCGCACCACCGUCCAAUUCCAGGAACAGACUUCCAGCCAACCCCGCCCCAGCGACGAGCAUCCUCGUUUCCUCCCCUGGGUGGGCUUUCCAGGUUCCCGCCGUGGGAGACGCGCGCUGCAUUCCAGCGCUCCGCGCCGCGCUGGUCCGUCGGCCCCGGCCAUCUCCGAGAGGCUGCGUGGACCGUCUUCAUCGCGGCCGACGGAAAUACAGCUGCCGUCUGCGAUCUCGGCGAGCGGGGCUCCGCACUGCGCAUGCUUCUUCUUCUUCAUCCGGCGCAGGGCGGGGGGCUCGCCUACUCCUGAGUCCCAGAGGACCUGUCCCCUAAAAGCCCUGAGCCGCGGGCGGGGGGGCAGGCACCCCCGCCGUUCUGCCUCGUCCUCCGCAAAGCUGGUGUGCCAGAGCCCCCCGGGGGACCCCGCGGGGAAGGCUUGUUGACAGUGCGGCUCCGGGCCUGGGAACCUGCAUUUCAGGCCUCCCACCCCUCCUUGCCCCAGACGCACCCUGUGUGACCCGCUUCUGGCUCCUGUGACUGCGAGCGUGUGGGCAGCAGAGAUCUGAACUGCCCCACCCCCGUGUGGGAGGGGCGGCGUCGCUCAGACACACUGCGGGGAGCCAGACCUCGUUCUCUGAGCCCGGGGCCUGACCUCAGUGCCCUCGCCGUGACAGGCAGACGCCCAACGUCUCUCCAUGGAGACGGACCCCUUGGUGUCCCCCUGAGACAGGCAGACACCCCAACAUCUCUCCAUGCAGAUCGACCCCUCGAUGUCCCCCUGAGACAGGCAGACACCCCAACGUCUCUCCAUGGCAGACGGACCCCUUGGUGUCCCCCUGAGACAGGAAGACACCCCAACUUCUCUCCAUGCAGACAGACCCUUUGGUGUCCCCCUGAGACAGGCAGGCACCCAACAUCUCUCAAAGACAGACAGACCCCUCAGUGUCCCCCUGAGACAGGCAGGCACCCCGGUGAACCCCUGCACAUAGAGUCCCGACACCCACUGCCACAGAUCGGCCCCCAUGGAGUCCUCUUUCAGGCACAAACGGAAGCUGGCUCCUGGCAAGAGGGACCCUCCCACAGGGGACGGGGUGGCGGCUCUGUGGGUCGUCGUGGUGAGAUGUGAGUGAGACAGGGCCUUGAAGUUUGGGGUGAGUGUGAAUCCUCGUACCCCCCACCCCACCAAGUGCCCUGCCAAGCCUGGGCCACUGGGUUUGCAGAAAUGUACGAGGCCCUUGGUUUUCUGCUUGUCCCUGGCCCUCAGCUCUGGGGAAUGCACAGCGGGGGGCUGGGCGAGGAUGGGUGGUCUCAGGAUGGGGGCCCCUAGGGGAGGGAGGGAACAGGGUUUCUUCCCUGUGAAUUCCAGGCUGGGAGCAGGCAGCACAUAACCAGCCACUUCCUGUGCCCCCCUUGGUGCAUCCCGACUGAGCCCAGCUUGUCCGUCCGUCUGUCCAGGCCAGCCCUGUGGCUGGGCACUGUGAACGGGGCUUUGGGGUCAUUGCUGGGCUUCUCUGCAAUCGAUGGGGAGUCUUUCGUGCUGAUUUACAUUUCAGACACAGCGCUUCCAUUGAUCCCCGGCCCCUCACGCAGCGCCCGAGUCGCGCCUGUCCCGUAUCCCAUUAGCUAAUUGUGUCUUGCGCCAUCCUCCAUCUGCUGGAAAUGUAAGCUGGCUGGGUUCUCCACCUUCCACAAGUGGCAGUGUCUUUUUGUCCCUUGUUCCUGUCCUCCUCUCUUCGACGACAAGAAAGCUCCCUCCCCAUUCCUGGAGACCCCCGCUCACUUUUUGCCCCCCUGCCCCUUCCAGGAAAGCAGGUCCCACUCCUUGCGCUGACUGUGAUAGAGCUCAGCUCUAACCCCCAAGACAAAGGACCGGAAUCCACCCGUGCCUGGGGAGUCCUGUGGGGGCCUGUGGGGUCUUUGGGCUUGUUAGGUGGUGGAGCAGCUUGGCUGGGAUCUCUGGGACAAGGAGGAAGCUUCCUGGUUUCAUGGGUCCUGGGCUGCAGAUUUGUCUUGUUGGCAUCAGGGCAGGAGGGCUGGUGGGGCCCCUGGAGCCCCGCUGGGCCCUCUGCUCAGGCUGGUCAGCCUUUCCGGUGGGGUGGGAUGCCCCUUGCAUCCCCCAGGGGCUGGUCCAGAGCCUGGAACGAGAGAUGAUGUCCUGGGACUCCACCCCGCAAAGGGGCCUGAUGUGAAAUGACCAAAAGUAAACACAUUGUCUCUGCCCCCGGUUCCUGCCUCAGAGCUCCUGAAAUCCCUGUGCUUUCCUGGGUGAUGGGAGUGUCUUUUGUCCUAGUGAGGUGAUCCUGGGUGGGCUCCUCGGUGGAGCCAUGAUCCAGAGAGGGGAGAGGGGCUGGAAAUGGAGGUAAGGGUUGAUCAUGUCGACGUGAGGAAGCGUCCAUAAAACCCCAAUAGCACGGGGUUCAGGGAGCUUCCAGGCUGGUGAGCACAUCCAAAUACCUGCAGGGUGACACCCCAUCUCCAAGGGGACAGAAGCUCCUAGCUCAAGACCCUCUUGGAUCUCACCCUGUGUGUCUCUGCAUCUGGCUGUUCUUCUGUAUCCUUUAUUCUAUAGUAAACCAGUAAACACAGAUGUUUCUCUGAGUUCUGGGAGCUGCUCUAGCAAAUUAAUUGAACCGAGGAAGGGGUCGUGGGAACCUCCGAUUUGUAGAGGGUCCUUCAGAAGCACAGGCGACAACCUAGGCUUGCAAUUGGCGUCUCAAGUGGGGAGCAGUUUUGUGGGGCUGAGCCCUUAACCUGCGGGAUCCGCUGCUAUCUACUCCACAGGCAGAUGGUGUCAGAACCGAAUUGAAUUGUAGGGCACCCGGUGGUGUCGGAGAAUUGCUUAGUGUGGGCGAAACCCCGACCUUUGGGGUGGGAAAUGUCACAGGCGCAGUGUUCUGUGCGCGGGUGAAGGAGGAGCACAGAGUGUCCCAGCCUGGGCUCCCUGAGGAUGCGAGACCGAGGGUCAGUUCCAGCCUCUCAGACUGGAUCAGAUUGGGCCGGACGCAGGGCCACACAUUAAGGCUUUUUGCACGACUCCAAAUGUCCCCUGGUGAGUCAGCACCUCGUGUGCUGGGAGCUCUGCCGUCGUCCUUGCUUCUUCCGGUAAAGUGGAUCUGUGAGCUGGAUCAGCAUCUCUGACGGCCUUUGUGGGCCAGGAGAACUGCAGCGUGACCCCACCGCUGCGUAGUAGGGGGCGGACUGCCUUCCUGCCAGAGCCUGGCUGGCUGUGUUUCCCUCUUAGAUGCAGAAAUGCGCGCACAGUCUGCUGCCCUCAUGUCUCUGCCAAGGCGACUUUCUCCCCGAGUGGAGCUCUGCCCAAAGGGACAGCACAGGGGGACAGGCACCGUCCUCCUGCUCGGCAGCCCCAGUGGGCGGGGGAAGCGGCUUUCCAGAAUCGGAGGCUUCAGGGGCAGGCUGGGUGCCCGAAAGCACAGGCCUGUUCAGAGGACACCCCACUGGCCCCUCCCGGGAGACCACAUGCCCGCCCGCCUGCCCUGCCUUCCUCCUGGGCUGUGGUCCUAAAUCUCCCCAGACAGGGUGGAGCUGCCCCGGGAGGGCUCCUUGGAGGGUCUCCUUGCAGACGCCCCUGCUCAUUAGCUGCCCCCAGACCUCCCCCAGCACCCCUUCCUCCCCUAAGGCUGGGGGAGCCCGGGCCCCCCACCCACUGGCUCUGCUCAGAGUCCCCAGCUCUGGGCCCGCCAGCUGUGCCCACCUCUCCCCUGGGACCAGCAAGUGAUUUGCACCUUUUUCAGGUGAGAAGGGGCAGCUGUGGCCUGUUCCCAGGGGAAUUUCUCAGAAUCAGAAGCCUUUCCCAAACUCAGUUCAAUAGGAAUUGAAGAAACUCAAUUCGACACGUGGCUUUGGGCUCCUGCCUAGUGUGGGAACCUGGGAGCUAGGGGUGAGGGUCCUGCCAGCAGACACCCUGGGACCCCCGGGGCCCAGGCUGCCAGGACACACGAGGGGCUGAUGGGGUGUGGGGCCCCCUGACCCCCAAGGGCCCUCCUACCUUCCUGGGCGCCCUCCGUAAAAACUGGGAAAUAUUCUUUGUAACAACCGUGCUGACGUGAAGACCAACGUAUUAAUACUAUAAAUGAAAAUAUUACUUCAAUCUCAAAGUUCUUUGUUUCUCUUACGAUUUUAAAAGUCAUUCAGACACUGAUGUGAGCCCGGGCUGGAUGCAGGAGCUCAGAGGGGACACAGGGCGUGUGAAGGGCAGGGGCGCCCGUGUGGAGGGGACGCAGCCGUGUGGUGGGGAGGGGCGGUGGGCCCAGGCGGUGGGAGUGGCACACGUGGGCUGGACCUUUGAAGUCCUGGGACCCGGGCACAGUCCCCACCCCCACCCAGACCGUGAAGAUGUGACCUGGGACUGUCUGGUCCACAGCAGAGGUGUCUGCACGGGGCUCUGGGCUCCUGCCCUUGUUCCUGGCCUCCUGGCUGCGGUGCUGGGAGGAACCUUGGGCGCGGCUGGUUGAGCUGCUGGGAAAUUUCUAGCACCCUCCUGCGAGCCUGCUAUGGCCCUGGGAGCUGGUGAUCUACACUCCAGAAACUUCCAGACAUGCCCACGGCCUCUCCGCCCACCCGUGGGGGAGUGAGGCCAGCAGGGCAGUGGGCUGGAGUUGGAGAGGCGGCCCCUGACCCCGUCCUCAGCCUCAGGAAAUGGGGUUUGGGGUUGUUAUGGGCUGAAAUGUGCCCCCAAAUUCACAUUCCUAACUCUCAGGACCCCAGAAUGUGUCUAUGUUUGGAGGUGAUUCAGGUAAACUGAGGUCACCAGGGUGGCCUAAUCCCGUUCACUGGGGUCCCUAUGAGAAGAGGGGAUGGGGACGCAGACACACGCACAGGUUCGACCAUGCGAGGACACAGGGAGAAGACGGUGUCUACACACCGAGGAGCGAGCCCUCAGAGGAACCAGCCCUGAGACAGCCGGAUCUCGGAUGUCCAGCCCCCAGACUGUGAGAGAACGAACGUCUGUUGUUCAAGCCGUCAGCCUGUGGCCGUUUGUUACUGCUGCCCGAGCCAAACGGGACAGGCGCCUCCUCUCAGAGAGGCUGGGGGCUCUCUGUGUGGGUGGCACCCGGGCAGGGCGAGCUCGUCCUCCUGCCCCGCUGGGCUCUCCUUCCUCGAAGCCGCUGCUCUGCCCCGUCGUGAAUUCAGCGUGGAGCUCUCCCAGCAUCUGUGAGGACAAAACUGCACGCGAGUCAUAUCCUGAUGGGGGGGUGAGGGACAAGGGACGAGGGCGCCGGGGCAGCAGUCCCUGCAAACGAGUGAGUGGGGUUCCGUCUGGCUGUGCCCUCGAGGCCCCAGUGACGGGUGGGGGCUCCGAAUCUGACCCUGGCCACCUUGUGAGUGUUUGUGGGGUCCAUGUCUGCAUUGUGUUAGCACCAGGGCUUGUCAUGACCGGAGGGGGCCCUGGUUCUGUAAUGAGUCUGUGGCUGGGGUGGACUCUCCCCCUCGCUCUGGCUCACAUUACUGGCCGGAAGGCCUGCUCCCGCCCCCUGCAUCUCAGCCUUGAGCUCUGAGCCCAAAGGUCCCAUCCUCAGGGUGUGUCCUCUUGAUUCCUGCUCUAAUCAGCGCCCCCCGGGGUGUGUGUGCAUGGCCCGGGUCCCUUCCCUCUGUUACACACAUCGCCACUGUCUUUUACUCAAUUCAGACAUUGUUACCUCCACCCCGGGCUGCAGCUCGUGGAGACCAGGGCUCGUGGGCAGGGGAGACCACUCCUCUGUGGGAGCCCCAGGAUGGGACUUGUGUCCUCGUGCCUCUGGCCUUCCUCCCCAGCUGGGCCACUUCGGACCCCGCGUCCCGGCUACCUGUGCAAACUCUCUGGGCCUCGGCGGCUUCAUCUUCAACAGGUGGCAAGCAAGCUGCUUCUGAGGCGGUUGGGAGCCGAGUCCCCGAGUGAGUGAGAAGCCCCCACACUGUCAGCUUCUGCGCCAGGAAGGGAGCGUUACGUGGAAAGAGGAGAGGAAAAGCACGAUGGGCGUGACGGCGCGUGGAGCCAGCAGUCCUGUUCUGGACCUUCGUGCCGACCCCUGGGAAGGCGAGCGCGCGGCUCUGACUCACCGUGAGAGCGGGAGUGACGCGGGCCGUCCACUUUACGACAAUUGGAUCUAAGAAUAUCCUGUCGCCCCCGCCACUGAGCCUGGGAAGAUGAAGAGACAAGGCUGUGAGAAUUCUCAGAGAUAAAAAGGCUUCUAAAAGGAAGUAGCAGGGAGUUCACACAAGCUUCUCCCCUGCAAGUGAUUAAUCCUGUCGCCGAUUUGACUUGACACAGUAAUUGGGAAACCAACUGGAUACCUUUGCAAGGAGAGUUAAGUAACCAGAUUUUUAAACUGAUUUUUCUUUUUUCCUUUUCUUCUUUUUUUAAAUUGGUAUAAAACUAAUAUGUGUGCAUGAUAAAAUUAAACACAAUAAAGGGAAUAAAAUUAGAGAUACAAGGUUCUCUCCAUCCCACCCCCACCAACCCCAGCUCUGUUCUCACUAUUGUAACCGUGUGUAAUCUUUCAGAAAUGUGCAUGCAAAGGGUGUGGGGGUGUGUGCUCACGUAUAAAUUUAAACAUCAAUGAGAUCACGCUGUAAUCGGCUCCAAAUCUUGACAUAUUGGAUAAACAACAUAUUGAAGAGAUCUUUCCAAAUAGAACCAGCUCAUUCCUUUAUAUCCUUCUAAUUUUUGGCUACUAUGGUUGUCUUGUUUUUGAAAAACAUGCAUAAAACUCCUACUGCGACUGUGGACUUGUGAUUCCACCAUUGCUUGCACACAAUCCACACCCACACAUGAACGCUCCUGCAUGCACACAUCACGCAAGCACACACGUGUGCAUCCCACAUGCACAUAUCACACACGUGUGCACACACAUUUGCACCCAGACAGACACGCUUCCCACCUGCAUCUCCACACACACCGACCCCUAAACACACACUGACACCUGUGCACACACCAUCCCACGCACACCCACACCCACGUACCCCAGACACAUUCACGCACGCUGACACUCCCUCGCACCAUCCCCCGCCCCCACACGCUGACAUACACACGCUGUAUUCCGCCGUAACAAAUGAUCACAAGCUUCGUGGCUCAAAACAGCAGAAAUUGAUUCUCUCGCAGUCUGGAGGCCAGACGCCCCAAAUCCAGGUGUGGGCAGGGCUGCGUUCCCUCUGAAGGCUCUAGAGGACCCUUCCUGCCUCUUCCAGCUCCUGGUGGCUGCCAGGAACCCUUUUUUGGUUGCCUCACUCCAGCCUCUGCCUCCCUGUGUGUCUGUGUCUCUGUGUCCAAAUUUCCCUCUUCUUCUUAUUUUUGGUGAGGAAGAUUGGCCCUGAGCUGACAUCUGUGCCCAUCUUCCUCUGUUCCAUAUGUGGG